GGUCCUGUCUGGUGCCGGGAACUCCGUGAUCAGGAAGGCGGAGACCCCAGGAGAAGGCCCUUUCAUUGCACUUCGGAAGGGCUGAGACCUGCCACUCUCCCAAACUGGGAAAGAUGGGGCAUGUAAUUUUUGGUAGGUAAGCUAAAACUCUGCAAAGUGGUGCCUUU
RNAcentral lists this small nuclear RNA (167 nucleotides) under Tropilaelaps mercedesae. Its description in RNAcentral is "U1 spliceosomal RNA". It matches the Rfam family "U1 spliceosomal RNA". From Rfam's summary of the family: U1 is a small nuclear RNA (snRNA) component of the spliceosome (involved in pre-mRNA splicing). Its 5' end forms complementary base pairs with the 5' splice junction, thus defining the 5' donor site of an intron. The record is from Rfam by way of RNAcentral. Lineage: Eukaryota; Metazoa; Arthropoda; Arachnida; Mesostigmata; Laelapidae.